UACGGAGGAUCCAAGCGUUGUCCGGAUUCAUUGGGUUUAAAGGGUGCGUAGGCGGAUCUUUAAGUCAGUGGUGAAAGCCUGCAGCUUAACUGUAGAAUAGCCAUUGAAACUGAAGAUCUUGAGUACAGUUGAAGUAGAUAGAAUGUAUCGUGUAGCGGUGAAAUGCUUAGAUAUGAUACAGAAUACCGAUAGCGAAGGCAAUUUGCUAAACUGUAACUGACGCUGAGGCACGAAAGCGUGGGGAGCGAACAGG
Molecule: ribosomal RNA, 253 nt
Filed under: uncultured bacterium
Lineage: Bacteria
Description: partial 16S ribosomal RNA
Rfam family: Bacterial small subunit ribosomal RNA
Source: RNAcentral